This is a non-coding RNA of Erinaceus europaeus (western European hedgehog), 125 nucleotides long. The record is from Rfam. Lineage: Eukaryota; Metazoa; Chordata; Mammalia; Eulipotyphla; Erinaceidae.
GUCUACGGCCAUACCACCCUGAACACGCCCGAUCUCGUCUGAUCUCGGAAGCUAAGCAGGGUCGGGCCUGGUUAGUACUUGGAUAGGAGACAAAUUAUAAUAACAAUAAAGGAAAAAAGCAGAAA